Molecule: ribosomal RNA, 406 nt
Filed under: uncultured bacterium
Lineage: Bacteria
Description: partial 16S ribosomal RNA
Rfam family: Bacterial small subunit ribosomal RNA
Source: RNAcentral
AUUGAACGCUGGCGGCAGGCCUAACACAUGCAAGUCGAGCGAGCGGCGGACGGGUGAGUACUGUCUGGGAAACUGCCUGAUGGAGGGGGACAACUACUGGAAAGGGUAGCUAAGACCACCUACCAUCAGAUGUGCCCAGAUGGGAUUAGCUAGUAGGUGGGGUAAUGGCUCACCUGGGCGACGAUCCCUACCUGGUCUGAGAGGAUGACCAGCCACACUGGAACUGAGACACGAUCCAGACUCCUGCGGGAGGCAGCAGUGGGGAAUAUUGCACAAUGGGGGCAAGCCUGAUGCAGCCAUGCCGCGUGUGUGAAGAAGGCCUUCGGGUUGUAAAGCACUUUCAGCGGGGAGGCGUUACCCGCAGAAGAAGCACCGGCUAACUCCGUGCCAGCAGCCGCGGUAAUAC